AUUGAACGCUGGCGGCAUGCCUUACACAUGCAAGUCGAACGGCAGCACGGGUGCUUGCACCUGGUGGCGAGUGGCGAACGGGUGAGUAAUACAUCGGAACGUACCUUAUCGUGGGGGAUAACGCAGCGAAAGCUGUGCUAAUACCGCAUACGCCCUGAGGGGGAAAGCGGGGGAUCGAAAGACCUCGCGCGAUUAGAGCGGCCGAUGCCUGAUUAGCUUGUUGGUGGGGUAAAAGCCCACCAAGGCGACGAUCAGUAGCUGGUCUGAGAGGACGAUCAGCCACACGGGGACUGAGACACGGCCCAGACUCCUACGGGAGGCAGCAGUGGGGAAUUUUGGACAAUGGGGGCAACCCUGAUCCAGCAAUGCCGCGUGAGUGAAGAAGGCCUUCGGGUUGUAAAGCUCUUUUGUCAGGGAAGAAACACCGGCUCUAACACAGUCCGGGAAUGACGGUACCUGAAGAAUAGGCACCGGCUAACUACGUGCCAGCCGCCGCGGUAA
Molecule: ribosomal RNA, 501 nt
Filed under: uncultured bacterium
Lineage: Bacteria
Description: partial 16S ribosomal RNA
Rfam family: Bacterial small subunit ribosomal RNA
Source: RNAcentral